CCUUGAAAGGGGGAACAAAAACAUUCUUUAGAAAGGUGUGGAAACCUCUUCCUAGCACACACACGUUUUAAAAACCUUGAAAGGAGGAAAAGUCUAAAGAGGACAAUAUCUAGUAGAGUUGGACAAUGGGAAUUCCAUUCAAUUCAAAUGUAGAAAAUGAGGUUUAAACAAGCACCUUCUCUGUCACCACCCCUGUUUGGCUUUGGUUCAGCAUAGAUGUAUGCCAUAACAUGU
Molecule: long non-coding RNA, 234 nt
Organism: Cucurbita moschata (crookneck pumpkin)
Lineage: Eukaryota; Viridiplantae; Streptophyta; Magnoliopsida; Cucurbitales; Cucurbitaceae
Exons: 2
Source: RefSeq, a predicted model, not a curated record